Molecule: long non-coding RNA, 310 nt
Filed under: Cricetulus griseus (Chinese hamster)
Lineage: Eukaryota; Metazoa; Chordata; Mammalia; Rodentia; Cricetidae
Description: lncRNA (ENSCGRG00015010974.2)
Source: RNAcentral
CUGCCAAGCAGAUGCCCAGAGAGUCUGUCUUCAGAGAGGACCGAGGCUUCUCCUGCCACAGCACAGGAAAUCAGCCCACUGAACCCAGGAAUUGCUUGUGUCCCUCAUCUAAAAUUACAGUCACAGUUGGUAUGGCAGAUCUGAUUGGACAAGGGUUGGGCACUGAUCCUGUGAAAUGGGACAUUCAGAUUCUACUCUUCAAGACCUGAUAAAGGCUGAACACUGAAACCGUACUGUUGAGUAAAGAUGUCAUCAGAGAAAGAGCCAUCUACUCUAGGGACCAGGGUAGUCUUAUUUAGGGAGCAGAACC